This 104-nucleotide ribosomal RNA is filed under the name Escherichia coli. RNAcentral's name for it is "4.5S SRP RNA (Ffs) from Escherichia coli (PDB 5NCO, chain 1)". It matches the Rfam family "Bacterial small signal recognition particle RNA". Rfam says of the family: The signal recognition particle (SRP) is a universally conserved ribonucleoprotein involved in the co-translational targeting of proteins to membranes. Archaeal SRP consists of a 7S RNA and homologues of the eukaryotic SRP19 and SRP54 proteins. Lineage: Bacteria; Pseudomonadati; Pseudomonadota; Gammaproteobacteria; Enterobacterales; Enterobacteriaceae. The record is from RNAcentral.
GGCUCUGUUGGUUCUCCCGCAACGCUACUCUGUUUACCAGGUCAGGUCCGGAAGGAAGCAGCCAAGGCAGAUGACGCGUGUGCCGGGAUGUAGCUGGCAGGGCC